GUGAGGAAUAUUGGUCAAUGGGCGGGAGCCUGAACCAGCCAAGUCGCGUGAAGGAAGACGGUUCUAUGAAUUGUAAACUUCUUUUGUGCAGGAAUAAAGUGGGUUACGUGUAACCUUUUGUAUGUACUGUACGAAUAAGGAUCGGCUAACUCCGUGCCAGCAGCCGCGGUAAUACGGAGGAUCCGAGCGUUAUCCGGAUUUAUUGGGUUUAAAGGGUGCGUAGGUGGAUUGAUAAGUCAGCGGUGAAAGUUUGCAGCUUAACUGUAAAAUUGCCGUUGAAACUGUCGGUCUUGAGUGCAAAUGAGGUAGGCGGAAUGUGUUGUGUAGCGGUGAAAUGCUUAGAUAUAACACAGAACUCCGAUUGCGAAGGCAGCUUACUGGGAUGCAACUGACACUGAUGCACGAAAGCGUGGGUAUCAAACAGGAUUAGAAACCCUAGUAGUCC
Molecule: ribosomal RNA, 445 nt
Filed under: uncultured bacterium
Lineage: Bacteria
Description: partial 16S ribosomal RNA
Rfam family: Bacterial small subunit ribosomal RNA
Source: RNAcentral